RNAcentral lists this ribosomal RNA (400 nucleotides) under uncultured Plasmodiophoridae. RNAcentral describes it as "SSU rRNA". It matches the Rfam family "Eukaryotic small subunit ribosomal RNA", at positions 1407 to 1806 of the family's 1831-position model. Lineage: Eukaryota; Endomyxa; Phytomyxea; Plasmodiophorida. The record is from RNAcentral.
CUUCUUAGAGGGACUAUCGUUGUUGCAGACGAUGGAAGUUUGAGGCAAUAACAGGUCUGUGAUGCCCUUAGAUGUUCUGGGCCGCACGCGCGCUACAAUGCUAGGUUCAACGAGUCUGCGACUUGGCCGAGAGGCCUGGUUAAUCUUGUGAAAUCCUAGCGUGCUUGGGCUUGCCUCUUGCAACUAGAGGCACCAACGAGGAAUUCCUAGUAGACGCAGGUCAUCAACCUGCAUCGAUUACGUCCCUGCCCUUUGUACACACCGCCCGUCGCUUCUACCGAUUGGUCGUCCCGGUGAACAAUCGGGAGGGCGCGCACCAGGUCAGCAAUGGCCGGCGCGCGUCCGAACUUUUGUAAAUUUGGUCGACUAGAGGAAGAAGAAGUCGUAACAAGGUUUCCGU